This 269-nucleotide long non-coding RNA is filed under the name Panax ginseng (ginseng). RNAcentral's name for it is "long non-coding RNA (PGIN_LNC017180)". Lineage: Eukaryota; Viridiplantae; Streptophyta; Magnoliopsida; Apiales; Araliaceae. The record is from RNAcentral.
UUCACAUAAAAGAUUAGGCAUGUAGCGCCCCCAAAUCCGGGUCCUUUAUACCUCGUACCUGGUGCAUCACGAUACAACAUCUUUAUACAUAUCCUAUAAACUAAUACAGAAUUAUAAAUAUAAUUUGUCCAUAUAACAAGUUCUACAACAUUUCCCAAGGUCUACAACAUUUAUCUUAAUACAUACCUUUAAUAAUUCCCAAGGUUAACAUCAUCAAUUUACAGAAGUUAUUAUAAUAAAUAAAUGUUCAUAUAAAACUAAUCUCCAAC